Molecule: ribosomal RNA, 497 nt
Filed under: uncultured bacterium
Lineage: Bacteria
Description: partial 16S ribosomal RNA
Rfam family: Bacterial small subunit ribosomal RNA
Source: RNAcentral
GAUGAACGCUGGCGGCGUGCCUAAUACAUGCAAGUCGAGCGAACAGACGAGGAGCUUGCUCCUCUGACGUUAGCGGCGGACGGGUGAGUAACACGUGGAUAACCUACCUAUAAGACUGGGAUAACUUCGGGAAACCGGAGCUAAUACCGGAUAAUAUAUUGAACCGCAUGGUUCAAUAGUGAAAGACGGUUUUGCUGUCACUUAUAGAUGGAUCCGCGCCGCAUUAACUAGUUGGUAAGGUAACGGCUUACCAAGGCAACGAUGCGUAGCCGACCUGAGAGGGUGAUCGGCCACACUGGAACUGAGACACGGUCCAGACUCCUACGGGAGGCAGCAGUAGGGAAUCUUCCGCAAUGGGCGAAAGCCUGACGGAGCAACGCCGCGUGAGUGAUGAAGGUCUUCGGAUCGUAAAACUCUGUUAUUAGGGAAGAACAAAUGUGUAAGUAACUAUGCACGUCUUGACGGUACCUAAUUAGAAAGCCACGGCUAACUACGUG